UACGAAGGGGGGCUAGCGUUGCUCGGAAUGACUGGGCGUAAAGGGCGCGUAGGCGGAUGGCACAGUCAGAUGUGAAAUUCCCGGGCUUAACCUGGGGGGCUGCAUUUUGAUACGUGUGAUCUAGAGUGAGGAAGAGGGUCGUGGAAUUCCCAGUGUAGAGGUGAAAUUCGUAGAUAUUGGGAAGAACACCGGUGGCGAAGGCGGCGACCUGGUCCUUGACUGACGCUGAGGCGCGAAAGCGUGGGGAGCAAACAGG
RNAcentral lists this ribosomal RNA (256 nucleotides) under uncultured bacterium. RNAcentral's name for it is "partial 16S ribosomal RNA". It matches the Rfam family "Bacterial small subunit ribosomal RNA", at positions 524 to 776 of the family's 1533-position model. The record is from RNAcentral.